UAAAGUGGAUUAGCGGCGGACGGGUGAGUAACACGUGAGUAACCUGCCCUUGACUUUGGGAUAACUUCAGGAAACUGGGGCUAAUACCGGAUAGGAGCUCCUGCUGCAUGGUGGGGGUUGGAAAGUUUCGGCGGUUGGGGAUGGACUCGCGGCUUAUCAGCUUGUUGGUGGGGUAGUGGCUUACCAAGGCUUUGACGGGUAGCCGGCCUGAGAGGGUGACCGGCCACAUUGGGACUGAGAUACGGCCCAG
Molecule: ribosomal RNA, 250 nt
Filed under: uncultured Actinomycetales bacterium
Lineage: Bacteria; Bacillati; Actinomycetota; Actinomycetes; Actinomycetales
Description: partial 16S ribosomal RNA
Rfam family: Bacterial small subunit ribosomal RNA
Source: RNAcentral